GUAUUUACCACACUUAGCACACAAAAGAGGAUGAGGCCGAUUGCUUACACUGUCCUGAGACCUGGAAGGUACCGGCCUAUUCCCGAGAUCUUGCCUGCCCCGAUAUACUGGAGCACUAGCUGACGAAGGCGCAUGUAUAAAUAGAUAUCUCUGAAAUUGAGGGCGACUUCCUCUAGAGAAUCUAGUUUGACAAGACCUCUGUUGCUCCGAUCUGACUCUCUUAAUCCCU
Molecule: long non-coding RNA, 229 nt
Filed under: Capsicum annuum
Lineage: Eukaryota; Viridiplantae; Streptophyta; Magnoliopsida; Solanales; Solanaceae
Description: long non-coding RNA (CANN_LNC008188)
Source: RNAcentral